Molecule: long non-coding RNA, 1747 nt
Organism: Bombus pyrosoma
Lineage: Eukaryota; Metazoa; Arthropoda; Insecta; Hymenoptera; Apidae
Exons: 2
Source: RefSeq, a predicted model, not a curated record
UUGUAAUUUCUUAUACUUGUUUCUAUUUCUCGGGCAGUUGCUCGAUGAAAAAUAUUACGUAGCCUGUGGUUAAGUCCGUUAACUUACCUCAUCUAGACUAAGUCUAUUUUGUGAGCGAUUUUUGCUACAAAGAUGCAUCGUUUAAUUUAAAACGAAAAGUUGAAAGCUUUCCUGUACAAUUCUUUUAAAUAUUAAAUUAUUCAAUAGAAGAAUCGAUUUGCCAAGGUGUUUGUAGUUUUAGUUGGAAAAUUUCUCUGGAAUGUAAUAAUGUGCCUUAGAUUCGGCUGUCCGAGGAGCGCAUGUCCCACGGAUGCAGAGUUUUUUCGCGGUCGGAGAUGCUUAAGAUAUCUAUGUAUCUGAAGGUGUAACAUAAAGAUACGUUUUGAUAAUAUGAAUAAUAAAUAUAACGCCAAGGAUAAUUCUAUUGGGUUGGCAACUAAGUGAUUUGGUGGUAAUGACAAGAUCCGCAACCACUUAGUUGUCAACCCAAUAGUUGUCAUAUCGGUUAUAGGUUAUAUCGAUUUGUUUUUCUUAGCAUAGAUUGUCGGCGAGCAUGGAUGCGGUGGUGCAACAGAGGGGAAAUCGACUGCGACGAAUAACAAGAAGCAGCAGCAGAAAUAAAGAAGGACAGGAAGAAGAAGAAGCGCGUGAAUGUGUCAAAUAUGUAAAAAACAAUAUUGUAGGUUAGACGCGAGAAGAUUUGAAACAAGUAAGAAAGGAAUGAAAAGAGAGAAGUAAUUGAGCUUUAUUUGCAAAGUGGGAAUAGAAUAGAUAAUAGGUAAUAUGUAAGGCAAUAUAAUUUUGUGGAUGAUAGAAGAACGGAUUUGUUUGGAUUCCAGAAGACUAAAGAAUAGGUAAAGAUGCAUUUAGGAGAUAUAUAUGUGUGCAUUGUUUAUUUGACCAUUGACCAUAAACUGCGAAAUUAGGCUUAAAAAAUAUAGGAUGACAGAUGGAAUAGUUUUGAAAGGUUAAGAAUAUGGUGGCGUUAAGAAAGGUGUAAUUGUGAACAAUGUACAAUGGGAUCGGGCAAUGGGAUGGAAUAUCAUUACGGAAGGUAGUAAUUAUAAUCUGGAAAUAUAUUAGUAAGGAAAAACACGGUUGGAAUCUUGUAAUCAUACUGAUACUAUAUGGAAAGUGAUUAACGUUAAAUGAAUUACACUUAAAGGAAUGAAACAUACUAAUGAUAAUGAUAUAGAAUCGUAUUAUUAAAGCUAGUAAUUAUAUAGAGUUAUAGAGGAAAUAUGGAGGUAAUUAGGGCGGACUGUAAGGGUGGAUGAGAAUUAUGGCGCAUUACGGACACAGACAGGAAAGAGAAAUUGUGUCUGUUAGAAGAAGGUUGAGCAGGAGGGAAUAGAGAGAAAGGAAAUUAUUGAAGAGCUUAAUGUCAUUUGAGAAAGGAAAAAGUCGGGGAAGACGAAGAAGAAACAAAUGUAAUUAUUGUAAGUGGAAAAUGGCUGGUGAAUGGAAAUAAAGAGGGUAUAGGAUAAUAGGAUGUAUCUAAACUGUCUUUUUGACGGAUAGAUGAAAGAAAAAGAAGAGCCGUGAUUGUGGAAGAAAUGGAUUAAGCACAAAUGUAUGUUUAAGUAAGCGACACGUAAAAAACACGGUUAUUAUAGUCAACUUUUUGCGCGACUAACGAGACAUUAGCGAUCCGAUUUUACGACUUAUACACUGUACGAGCGUAUCAGCGAAUAUAGCCUGUAUACUAAUUUAUUAUUUUAAAUAUAUUCGACGGUUCAACAAACAA